This 405-nucleotide ribosomal RNA is filed under the name uncultured bacterium. RNAcentral's name for it is "partial 16S ribosomal RNA". It matches the Rfam family "Bacterial small subunit ribosomal RNA", at positions 30 to 526 of the family's 1533-position model. The record is from RNAcentral.
AUUGAACGCUAGCGGGAUGCUUUACACAUGCAAGUCGAACGAGUGGCGGACGGGUGAGUAAUAUAUCGGAACGUGCCCCGUAGCGGGGGAUAACUACUCGAAAGAGUAGCUAAUACCGCAUACCAUUAGAUCUGCCGAUUGGGGAUUAGCUAGUUGGUGGGGUAAAGGCUCACCAAGGCAACGAUCCGUAGCUGGUUUGAGAGGAUGACCAGCCACACUGGUACUGAGACACGGCCCAGACUCCGACGGGAGGCAGCAGGGGGGAAUUGUGGACAAUGGGGGAAACCCUGAUCCAGCCAUCCCGCGUGUAUGAGAAGGCCUUCGGGUUGUAAAGUACUUUUGGCAGAGAAGCGGUAUCUGCAGAAUAAGCACCGGCUAACUCCGUGCCAGCAGCCGCGGUAAUUC